AAGUUAAAUACAAUAUACAACAUAUAAAUUAUAACAAUACUGCAGCCAUAAUACUGACAUGUUGCCCAUAAACCCAAAAAGUGUAACACCCAAACUGUACAAUAUGUAACUCAUACAUUAGUAUAUCACAUAUAACAUGUAACCUGCUCUUGCCCCCAUAUAGAACACAUGUAAUACAUGACACAGAUUAUGUACAUGCACUGGAGACAACACGCAACUACCCAUGCAUAUACAAAAUCCACACACAUAAAAUCUCAAAUCAUAAACACAGGGGGUUCCUGUCACAGUCACAGUCACAGCUGUCAUUUAAAAUCACUCCAACAUGCCCCUUUAACCUGGCUCCUGCCUUCAGGGAGGUGAAGUGUCAUUACUGUCAUUUUGGGGUGAGGGAAAUCACAGCUUGUCAGUGGCAGAGCUGGCCUGGAACUCAGCUUUCAUCCUUGCCCCUUCCUGCACCUUGAGCCCAUUCUCCAUGCUCUCUAUUUGUACCACACUUCUGUCUCACUCCCACCCUGCUUUGAAUUAGUCUCCAUCACUACACACAGGUCACACACACAGCCCCAGGCCCUACACGACUCUGUGCUGGUCCCAUCCUCCAGGGAGCACAUUAGCUUGGCAAAGAUGCACAGUGACAGGGACUCGUGCCUGCAGAAGUGUCAGCUGGAAAACAAGAGAAGGAGGCACAGGGAGCUUGAGGGGCAGGUGUUACUAGGAGCAGCCCCUCAGACAGUGUUGGUGCCUGAGAGUGGCCCAAUACAUCUAGAAACAGCCUGUGGGAGCUGGUGCUAGGCCCUCAGAGGCCCAUGGGACAGUGUCCUCCCAUAUGGAGUAGCCAGGAAAGUCUAGGUCACUUAUUUAUCAUCUUAAAAUCUAACCCUAAAUCUAAGAAAAAAAACAGGAAACAGGUUUUGUAUAUACAUGAGCAGUUGUAUGUUGUCUCUACUGCAUAUAUAUAAUCUGUGUUGUAUAUCAUAUAUGUCCCAUCUCUGCCAUUGGCUUAGGAUAGAGAACAAACUCACCCAGCUCAUAGGACCCUUUGUGAUCUGGCCCCUGCCAGUCUCUGAAGCUCAUCUCUUGCUAUGUCCCCAAUACUUUCUAUCCUGAAUUAUCUUUUUUUUUUCCUUUGAGACAGAGUCUCUGUCACUCAGGCUGGAGUGCAGUGGCACAAUCAUGGCCCACUGCAGCCUUGACCUCCUGGGCUCAAAUGAUUCUCCCACUUCAGCCUCCUGAGUAGCUGGGACUACAGGCAUGUGCCACCAUGCCCAGCUAAUUUUUUUUUUUUUUUUAGAGAUGGGAUUUUGCCAUAUUACCCAGGCUAGUCUCAAACUCCUGGCCUCAAGCGAUGUGCCAGCCUCAGCCUCCUAAAGUGCUGGGAUUACAGGUGUGAGCCACUGUGCCUGGCCCCUAGUUAUCUUUCUAAGACACUUACUUGCUCAGGUAGUUCCUUCUUGAACCACAGCAGUAGGGCACAAGCAGAGAAGGUGGUAGUUGCUGGAAAGAAAUACAUAGUAGGUGGAAGGGACAACCUGAGCAAAGACCCUGAGGCAGGAAGCCCAUCCAUGGCUAGGUAAUGGUAUCUGGUAGCUGGAAUCAAGCUAUGUUGGAGGGGCGAGUAAUGAGGCUGGACAGGGAACUUGGGGUCACACUGUGGAAGGCUUUCAGUGCAGGCCUAAGGAGAAAAUGGGGAGCCAUAAAAGAUUUUGGAGAAGUUUGUAUCUAAUAAAAAGAAUAAGAAUCCUCCUGCUGUGCGUGGUGCUCUGCAUCUUCUGCUUUCUGUACUCAUUAUUUCAUCUGCUCCUGCAACCUGUAAAGUAGGAAUUGUCACUAGUAUUUUAAGGAAAAUGGAUGUGUCAGCCAGCAAGCCAGUGGCAGAGUCUUGGUCUCCAGGCUCCCUGCCUCUUGCACUGACUCUUUCUCUUUCAACCUCCCUGCAUGGCAGCUGGCAAGAGCCCAUCCCUAAUCUUCACCAACCGGCACGAGGUGCGGAGGAUCGACCUGGUGAAGCGGAACUAUUCACGCCUCAUCCCCAUGCUCAAGAAUGUCGUGGCACUAGAUGUGGAAGUUGCCACCAAUCGCAUCUACUGGUGUGAUCUCUCCUACCGUAAGAUCUAUAGCGCCUACAUGGACAAGGCCAGUGACCCGAAAGAGCAGAAGGUCCUCAUUGACGAGCAGCUGCACUCUCCAGAGGGCCUGGCAGUGGACUGGGUCCACAAGCACAUCUACUGGACUGACUCGGGCAAUAAGACCAUCUCAGUGGCCACAGUUGAUGGUGGCCGCCGACGCACUCUCUUCAGCCGUAACCUCAGUGAACCCCGGGCCAUCGCUGUUGACCCCCUGCGAGGGUUCAUGUAUUGGUCUGACUGGGGGGACCAGGCCAAGAUUGAGAAAUCUGGGCUCAACGGUGUGGACCGGCAAACACUGGUGUCAGACAAUAUUGAAUGGCCCAACGGAAUCACCCUGGAUCUGCUGAGCCAGCGCUUGUACUGGGUAGACUCCAAGCUACACCAGCUGUCCAGCAUUGACUUCAGUGGAGGCAACAGAAAGAUGCUGAUCUCCUCCACUGACUUCCUGAGCCACCCUUUUGGGAUAGCUGUGUUUGAGGACAAGGUGUUCUGGACAGACCUGGAGAACGAGGCCAUUUUCAGUGCAAAUCGGCUCAAUGGCCUGGAAAUCUCCAUCCUGGCUGAGAACCUCAACAACCCACAUGACAUUGUCAUCUUCCAUGAGCUGAAGCAGCCAAGAGCUCCAGAUGCCUGUGAGCUGAGUGUCCAGCCUAAUGGAGGCUGUGAGUACCUGUGCCUUCCUGCUCCUCAGACCUCCAGCCACUCUCCCAAGUACACGUGUGCCUGUCCUGACACAAUGUGGCUGGGUCCAGACAUGAAGAGGUGCUACCGAGCACCUCAAUCUACCUCAACUACGACGUUAGCCUCUACCAUGACGAGGACAGUACCUGCCACCACAAGAUCCCCUGGGACCACCGUCCACAGAUCCACUUACCAGAACCACAGCACAGAGACACCAAGCCUGGCAGCUGCAGUCCCAAGCUCAGUUAGUGUCCCCAGGGCUCCCAGCAUCAGCCCGUCUACCCUAAGCCCUGCAACCAGCAACCACUCCCAGCACUAUGGGAAUGAAGACAGUAAGAUGGGCUCAACAGUCACUGCCGCUGUUAUUGGGAUCAUCGUGCCCAUAGUGGUGAUAGCCCUGCUGUGCAUGAGUGGAUACCUGAUCUGGAGAAACUGGAAGCGGAAGAACACCAAAAGCAUGAAUUUUGACAACCCAGUCUACAGG
Molecule: small RNA, 3288 nt
Filed under: Pongo abelii (Sumatran orangutan)
Lineage: Eukaryota; Metazoa; Chordata; Mammalia; Primates; Hominidae
Description: retained intron
Source: RNAcentral